RNAcentral lists this ribosomal RNA (1349 nucleotides) under uncultured bacterium. RNAcentral describes it as "bacterial SSU rRNA". It matches the Rfam family "Bacterial small subunit ribosomal RNA", at positions 28 to 1381 of the family's 1533-position model. The record is from RNAcentral.
GACGAACGCUGGCGGCGUGCUUAACACAUGCAAGUCGAACGAUGAAGCCUAGCUUGCUAGGUGGAUUAGUGGCGAACGGGUGAGUAAUACGUGAGUAACCUACCUUUAACUCUGGGAUAAGCCUGGGAAACUGGGUCCAGUACCGGAUACGACCAAUCUCCGCAUGGGGUGUUGGUGGAAAGCGUUAUGUAUUGGUUAUAGAUGGGCUCACGGCCUAUCAGCUUGUUGGUGAGGUAACGGCUCACCAAGGCGACGACGGGUAGCCGGCCUGAGAGGGUGACCGGCCACACUGGGACUGAGACACGGCCCAAACUCCUACGGGAGGCAGCAGUGGGGAAUAUUGCACAAUGGGCGCAAGCCUGAUGCAUCGACUCCGCGUGAGGGAUGACGGCCUUCAGGUUGUAAACCUCUGUUAGCAGGGAAGAAGAGAGAUUGACGGUACCUGCAUAGAAAGCGCCGGCUAACUACUUGCCAGACAGCCGCGGUAAUACGUAGGGCGCGAGCGUUGUCCGGAAUUAUUGGGCGUAAAGAGCUUGUACGCGGUUUGUCGCGUCUGCUGUGAAAGGCCGGAGCUUAACUCCGUGUAUUGCAGUGGGUACGGGCAGACUAGAGUGCAGUAGGGGAGACUGGAAUUCCUGGUGUAGCGGUGGAAUGCGCAGAUAUCAGGAGGAACACCGAUGGCGAAGGCAGGUCUCUGGGCUGUAACUGACGCUGAGAAGCGAAAGCAUGGGGAGCGAACAGGAUUAGAUACCCUGGUAGUCCAUGCCGUAAACGUUGGGCACUAGGUGUGGGGAACAUUCCACGUUUUCCGCGCCGUAGCUAACGCAUUAAGUGCCCCGCCUGGGGAGUACGGCCGCAAGGCUAAAACUCAAAGAAAUUGACGGGGGCCCGCACAAGCGGCGGAGCAUGCGGAUUAAUUCGAUGCAACGCGAAGAACCUUACCAAGGCUUGACAUAUACUGGACCGCAUCAGAGAUGGUGUUUCCCUUCGGGGCUGGUAUACAGGUGGUGCAUGGUUGUCGUCAGCUCGUGUCGUGAGAUGUUGGGUUAAGUCCCGCAACGAGCGCAACCCUCGUUCUAUGUUGCCAGCACGUUAUGGUGGGGACUCAUAGGAGACUGCCGGGGUCAACUCGGAGGAAGGUGGGGAUGACGUCAAAUCAUCAUGCCCCUUAUGUCUUGGGCUUCACGCAUGCUACAAUGGCCGGUACAGAGGGUUGCGAUACUGUGAGGUGGAGCUAAUCCCUAAAAGCCGGUCUCAGUUCGGAUUGGGGUCUGCAACUCGACCCCAUGAAGUCGGAGUCGUUAGUAAUCGCAGAUCAGCAACGCUGCGGUGAAUACGUUCCCGGGCCU